RNAcentral lists this long non-coding RNA (2143 nucleotides) under Nicotiana benthamiana. Its description in RNAcentral is "long non-coding RNA (NBEN_LNC038249)". The record is from RNAcentral. Lineage: Eukaryota; Viridiplantae; Streptophyta; Magnoliopsida; Solanales; Solanaceae.
GAGCUUUCUGGAGGAGCUUUUUUUAGACCGAAAAAAUAACAUUUGACCGGUGGCCGAGCGGAUUAUCAUAGUUACAGCACAGUGAUUGGGGUGAAGGAAAGCCACGUGUCUAGGGCAAACGUAGAACAGUGAAGAGUUAUGAGUGGUGGACAGGGAUUAGGUGGGUCCCAUGAUAAAGCAGCGUAUCAGGGAAAAUGGUUGCUCGGAUUGGUGUGCACGUAAAAGCCAAUCAGCAGGCGGACACGUAUAAAGCACCCAGACCAAAAGUUUACACGUAUGUACCUCAUUAGAACCAAAGUGUGGAACACUUUUGGUGGGAGGUUCCAGUAACUGGACGCGUGUCUACUGUUCGAAUAGUUACUAUUUCUCAGGCUGUCACGCUCCUUGUUCUGUCGUUAUUUUCAAUAUUAUUAUUGAAAGUGAGAUUUGGACUCGGUGAUUGGAUUAGUGAAGAGUUAUGAUUGGUGGACAGGGAUUAGGUAGGUCCCAUGAUAAAGCAGCGUAUCCAGGGAAAUUGGUUGCUCUGAUUGGUGUGCACGUAAAAACCAAUAAGCAUGUGGACACGUAUAGAGCACUCAGACAAAAAGGUGACACGUAUGUACCUCAGUAGAACCAAAGUGGGGAAUACUUUUGGUGGGAGGUUCCAGUGACUGGACGCGUGUCUCCUGUUCGAAUAGUUACUGCUUAAGAGAUUGUCACGCUCCUUACUCGGUCGUGCAUUUCAAACUAUUAUUGAAAGUGAGAUUUGGACACGGUGAUUGGAUGGCAAUAAUGGAACCUGUCUAAAUGGUUGGUUUAGCGAGUGAAGAGAACGCUCUUGUAUGAUGUGGGGGAUGUCUGCUCAGAUAUUGUUGUGGUUAAUAGGGCUAUGGCACUCGGACGCGUGGAGAUUGUUAGGGGUGAUUGCUAGGGCCCAGGUAAAUAUUUGAGACCCUAUAGAAUCUCAUAAUUAAUUAUCGCACCUGCUAUUGCUGUCAUCGAUAUGGUUAUAUACUCCUUUCUUUUUUAUUUAUUUUACGAACCAUUUAAAUUGGUUACAAAAAUUUACACAAAAAAGAGAGGAUAGGUUGUUAUCUUAAUAAGUAUAUCAUAUAGUAAAAAGAUUAACAUUACGAGUAAUUUUUUUAUUCGUCAGAAUGGGAGCGGAAAAAAAUGUUACUGAUAGAGUUAAAACUUUUCUCUCAAGCGUGAAGGCAGGGAGUUAAACAAGUGAGCUGGUUCUUGGAUCCUGGGUUGACCCGCUUUGUUUUGAGGUUCAUCUCCUAUGGCAUAUUUAGUAUGUGCCUAUACAUAUAUACGCACACACUUUAAUUUACAUCAACUACUUUUAAUACUACAUCUGCCGUAUAUUGUAAUUACAAAAUAUUAGCAGUAUUUGGCUCCUCCUGUUCUUUUCAGAUACUCCAAUAUGAAAACACUACUAGAUAAUCAAGUAGUUUUUGAUAAGAUUCUUUCGAUGUAGAAAUUUUUAGGGUAGGAGUCUAGUCAUUGGGUGGUUCUGUCUUUUGUGUAGAGAUGAAAACAUAGUGAGACAAUUAUGUAGAUUUUCAACAAGAUUCUAUUUCCCUAUUAUUAUUUUUCUGGAUAUUUUAAAGUUGUUCAGUUAUUGGUGAUAUAGCGUGGCUGCUUACGAAUGAAACUCAUCUGCUGAGGGUUUGGCUAAAGAACAAAAUAGAUGGUAUACUAGAGAAGUACCAUACAACUACAUGAACCAAUAAUAAAGAAAAUCGUAUGAACAUAUUCUUCUUUAAACCAAACGAUGUAGGCAUCAUGGUCAAAGCUGGAAGGCUGUAGUGGAAAUGAAAAAGAAAAGCCCAAGAGUCGGGUAACAUUCAACCAAAUUAAAGCAUCUUCAAAGCUUAUGAUUAAAAUCAAUAAAGCUGCUUUUAUUGUUCCUUUUCGUUCUUUAUUUUCUAGUAUAAUUCAUCUCCUAAAGUUGCAAGGGCGAUAAUUUGGAUUCCUGAUGAUGUUAAAGCUGCUUAAUUUUUCAUAAUAUUGUACAUUGCAUCUUAACUUUUGAUGUAUAUCAUAACAUAUAUCUGGGGCAGAGAUAAGGACGUGAGGUUCUUCUGAACUCCCUUCACAUGACAAUUACAUUGUAUAUAUAACGUUAAAAUUAUUAUUAUUAUUAAUAUAUAUAUAU